This 408-nucleotide ribosomal RNA is filed under the name uncultured archaeon. RNAcentral describes it as "bacterial SSU rRNA". It matches the Rfam family "Archaeal small subunit ribosomal RNA", at positions 466 to 872 of the family's 1478-position model. The record is from RNAcentral.
CGCGGUAAUACUGGCAGAACAAGUGGUGCCCACGAAUAUUGGGUCUAAAGAGACCGUAGCUGGCCUGUUAAGUCCACUGUGAAAUCUUGGGGCUCAACCUCAAGGCGUGCAGUAGAUACUGGCAGGCUCGAGAGCGGGGGAGGUCAGGGGUACUUACGGGGUAUGAGUAAAAUCAGUUGAUCCUGUAAGGACCACCAGUGGCGAAGGCGCCUGACCAAAACGCGUCUAACAGUGAGGGUCGAAGGCUAGGAGAACAAAUCGGAUUAGAUACCCGAGUAGCCCUAGCAGUAAAUCAUGCAGACUGUGGUGUUGCUAUGGCUUCGGGCCAUGGCAGUGCUGUAGCGUAGGUGUUAAGUCUGCCACCUGGGGAGUACGGCCGCAAGGUUGAAACUUAAAGGAAUUGGCGGG